This is a non-coding RNA of Phthorimaea operculella (potato tuberworm), 70 nucleotides long. Lineage: Eukaryota; Metazoa; Arthropoda; Insecta; Lepidoptera; Gelechiidae. The record is from the annotation of a GenBank genome assembly.
UGAUACGGCGCAAUGGUAGUGCGACCGCCUGCGACGCAGAUGGCUCCGAGUUCGAUUCUCGGUGAGUCAC